UGAUGGUGGUGAGGGAAAUUCCCAAGCAUACCUUUAAAUCUCUCCCACACUCGGUAGAGAUUCUCUCCUUUUUUUUGUUUGAAACUCAAAAUUUCACUCCUUAACCG
Molecule: non-coding RNA, 107 nt
Organism: Capsicum annuum
Lineage: Eukaryota; Viridiplantae; Streptophyta; Magnoliopsida; Solanales; Solanaceae
Source: Rfam